Molecule: ribosomal RNA, 550 nt
Filed under: uncultured bacterium
Lineage: Bacteria
Description: bacterial SSU rRNA
Rfam family: Bacterial small subunit ribosomal RNA
Source: RNAcentral
GAUUGCGNAUGGACAAAGUCUGACGCAGCGACGCCGCGUGAAGGAUGAAGGCUCUUUGAGUCGUAAACUUCUGUAGAGAGGGAAGAAUGUCCCGUUCUUCGGGAUUGACGGUACCUCUAAAGUAAGGAUCGGCCAACUACGUGCCAGCAGCCGCGGUAAUACGUAGGAUCCGAGCGUUGUCCGGAAUCACUGGGUGUAAAGGGAGCGCAGGCGGGCUUUCAAGUCGGUGGUGAAAUCUUACAGCUUAACUGUAAAACUGCCUCCGAUACUGGGAGUCUUGAGUGUGGAAGAGGGCGAUGGAAUUCAUGGUGUAGCGGUGAAAUGCGUAGAUAUCAUGAAGAACACCGGUCGCGAAGGCGGUCGCCUGGUCCAUUACUGACGCUCAUGCUCGAAAGUGUGGGGAGCAAACAGGAUUAGAUACCCUGGUAGUCCACACCUUAAACGAUGAAUACUUGGUGUCGGGUCGUAAGGCUCGGUGCCAAAGCUAACGCAUUAAGUAUUCCACCUGGGGAGUACGAUCGCAAGGUUGAAACUCAAAAAAAUUGACGGA